This 253-nucleotide ribosomal RNA is filed under the name uncultured bacterium. RNAcentral describes it as "partial 16S ribosomal RNA". It matches the Rfam family "Bacterial small subunit ribosomal RNA", at positions 524 to 776 of the family's 1533-position model. The record is from RNAcentral.
UACGGAGGGUGCAAGCGUUAUCCGGAUUCACUGGGCUUAAAGGGUGCGUAGGCGGGCAGGUAAGUCAGUGGUGAAAUCCCCGAGCUUAACUUGGGAACUGCCGUUGAUACUAUCUGUCUUGAAUACCGUGGAGGUGAGCGGAAUAUGUCAUGUAGCGGUGAAAUGCUUAGAUAUGACAUAGAACACCAAUUGCGAAGGCAGCUCGCUACACGAAUAUUGACUCUGAGGCACGAAAGCGUGGGGAUCAAACAGG